RNAcentral lists this long non-coding RNA (299 nucleotides) under Rattus norvegicus (Norway rat). Its description in RNAcentral is "long non-coding RNA NONRATT023423". The record is from RNAcentral. Lineage: Eukaryota; Metazoa; Chordata; Mammalia; Rodentia; Muridae.
UGGAACUGAUCAGGGGACCAGGAUGUUGCUGCUCUACUGCCAGGAAGUGUGGAUGACAGAGUGGAGCCACAAAACUGGUGACCAUAAAUAUUAAAAAACAAAUCAAAACACCCCCCAAACAACACCAGAGAACCCAGCACAUAUGCCGUGUCACUCAUUGCCGUACACAUUGGAGGAGAUGGCUCCUUGGGGGAGACUUCAGUCUACCUCCUCUGAAUGCAGGGAUAGUUGCCAGAACUGUUCACAAAUGAUGCCUGGGUAUGGAGGUUAUCUAAUAAACUGAUGGCUUCUUUAGUGUU